CAAAAAGUAGUUUAAAGUUAAAACGUUAAUUUUGGGUAUUAAUGAUAUUUUUAAAAAUUUUUUUGA
RNAcentral lists this transfer RNA (66 nucleotides) under Andrena haemorrhoa. Its description in RNAcentral is "tRNA-Pro". It matches the Rfam family "tRNA". Rfam says of the family: Transfer RNA (tRNA) molecules are approximately 80 nucleotides in length. Their secondary structure includes four short double-helical elements and three loops (D, anti-codon, and T loops). Lineage: Eukaryota; Metazoa; Arthropoda; Insecta; Hymenoptera; Andrenidae. The record is from RNAcentral.